GACGAACGCUGGCGGCGUGCUUAACACAUGCAAGUCGAACGGAAAGGCCCUGCUUUUGUGGGGUGCUCGAGUGGCGAACGGGUGAGUAACACGUGAGUAACCUGCCCUUGACUUUGGGAUAACUUCAGGAAACUGGGGCUAAUACCGGAUAGGAGCUCCUGCUGCAUGGUGGGGGUUGGAAAGUUUCGGCGGUUGGGGAUGGACUCGCGGCUUAUCAGCUUGAUGGUGGGGUAGUGGCUUACCAAGGCUUUGACGGGUAGCCGGCCUGAGAGGGUGACCGGCCACAUUGGGACUGAGAUACGGCCCAGACUCCUACGGGAGGCAGCAGUGGGGAAUAUUGCACAAUGGGCGGAAGCCUGAUGCAGCAACGCCGCGUGCGGGAUGACGGCCUUCGGGUUGUAAACCGCUUUCGCCUGUGACGAAGCGUGAGUGACGGUAAUGGGUAAAGAGGCACCGGCUAACUACGUG
RNAcentral lists this ribosomal RNA (468 nucleotides) under uncultured bacterium. RNAcentral describes it as "partial 16S ribosomal RNA". It matches the Rfam family "Bacterial small subunit ribosomal RNA", at positions 28 to 507 of the family's 1533-position model. The record is from RNAcentral.